This is a long non-coding RNA of Papaver somniferum (opium poppy), 1136 nucleotides long. RefSeq lists it as uncharacterized. The record is from RefSeq and is a predicted model, not a curated record. NCBI's taxonomy places the organism in Eukaryota, Viridiplantae, Streptophyta, Magnoliopsida, Ranunculales, Papaveraceae. The transcript is spliced from 2 exons.
GAAGCUAGAGUUUCAGAUUCCCGUCUACAACUUGUAGAAACUGUGAUGUUUUCAACCAUAAUGGUGACUAUUGUGGUCUCAUUGCUAAUAUGGCAUGGCUGACAGUUCCAGUCCUAUCUUUGCAAGGAGUUGAUCCCUUUGGUGAUGAUAAAAAUGAAGACGUCAUUCAAGGGGACUAAGAGGCACAACAAGCUAACCAAGUCAUAUCAACAACAUCAAUUAGAUCAAGAGGAAGCCCUCCAACAGUCCCAGCCAAUUAGUGAGGCAUCUCAAAUGAAAACUCCCAGAAUUCUCAAAUUGUGGAAAGCAACGGUGAACAGUCAAGAGGAACAAUUCAUGAUGUCCAGGAAGAAAUAAGAGGUGAAGAUAGACUUAGGCCUCCUCCUAACUCACCAGUGGCACAUCAAAUAAGUUUCGGAGCUGGAGAAAAUAGAGGAAAUAAGCAAAGAAGAGCAGAUGAUAUGGAUGUUGAUGGAAUGUAUUUAGAAAACCUCAAUAAGGAUAUCAGUUCUGCCCUUAUUAGACUUGCAGAAGAAGUAAGGAUGAUUCUUAUACUAUGAAAAAGAAGUGGAUAUAGGCUGACACUCUAGACGGAUAUCUGAAUCAAGGAGAAUCUUCUGGCAGAAAGGAGACUGAAACUAGCAAUGACCAAGACCAAGAUGCUGGAAAUGCUACUGCUGCUUCUGCAGAUGCUGGGACUCUAGUUCUCUCCAAUCAGGUAGACAUAACGGGUCUAAAUGCAUCUUCUUAGAGACAGCGCAGAGUCCAGAACAGGUGGAUUGUAAAGGUUUGUGGCAAGAAAUUCAACGGGCAGAAGAUAUGAAGCUGGAUAAAGUGAUUUUUGAACUGGACUCACAAUUGGUGGCUGAUGCAGUCACCAAGGAAGACUUCAAAUCAGACUGGAAAAAAUUUGUAAUUUGAUUUUAGAUAUUAAGAGUAUUAUUAAGAAUAAAAUUUCUUGGCAAUGUUGUUAUGUGCCUAAAAAAAAACCUAAGGUAGCAGAUGUCUUAGAAAAACUAGCUAGAGUAUGUCUGGAUCUUAGUUAUCUCUGAAGACAUUUUACCUCAAUUAAAACAGGAUGCAAAACAUGUAAUCUCUGACACUUGAUCAAUAAAAUUUCCAGUUUCAAAAAAAAA